GAACGGAAUGUUGGGACCUGAUUACUCAACUAAAUUCUCUCCAUGGCUUGCCUUUGGGUGUAUCUCUCCUCGGUUUAUCUAUGAAGAGGUUCAAAGAUAUGAAAGAGAAAGAGUAGCAAACAACUCAACAUACUGGGUGUUGUUUGAAUUACUAUGG
Molecule: long non-coding RNA, 157 nt
Organism: Brassica oleracea var. oleracea
Lineage: Eukaryota; Viridiplantae; Streptophyta; Magnoliopsida; Brassicales; Brassicaceae
Exons: 3
Source: RefSeq, a predicted model, not a curated record